RNA transcript from Mirounga angustirostris (Northern elephant seal), 2189 nucleotides. It is a transcript of the gene named T-cell surface glycoprotein CD1a-like, with no coding region annotated. The record is from RefSeq and is a predicted model, not a curated record. NCBI's taxonomy places the organism in Eukaryota, Metazoa, Chordata, Mammalia, Carnivora, Phocidae. The transcript has 7 exons.
CUCAGGGAAGGCUGGUGUGUGGAGAAGGAAGUCAGAAGAGAGGGGCUGUGUGUGGGGUAGGUUUGUUAGAAAAGGUCAAAGACCAACUUUGUAAGAGACAGAAAGAACAUCUGCAAAUACAAUGCUGUUCCUGCAACUUGUGUUGCUGGUGGUUCUCCUGCCAGGUGGUGACAGUGAAGAUGCCUUCCAGGAGCCAAUCUCCUUCCCAUUCCUCCUGACCACAUCUUUUUACAACUGUUCCUGGACACAAAAGCAAGGCUCAGCUUGGUUGGAUGAGCUGCAGACUCAUGGCUGGGACGAUAAGACUGGGGCUCUCAUUUAUCUGCAGCCUUGGUCUAAAGGCAACUUCAGCAACAAGGAGCUGUUGGAAUUAGAAGAGUUAUUCUACACAUACUGCAUUUGUCAUCCUUCAGUAUAUCAUAACCAUGUCAGUGAAUGGCAGCUUGAAUAUCCCUUCCAGGUACAGCUGGUGUUAGGCUGUGAUUCCCACUUUGGAGAAGCAUCAGUAGGCUUCAUGCGGAUUGCUUAUCAAGGAUCAGAUCUCAUGAGUUUCCAGAACACAUCAUGGUGGCCAUCUCCAAAGGGAGGAAGUAGGGCUCAGCAGGUCUGCACAGCAUACAAUCAGUACAUUGUCAGUGAAAUAGUACACAAACUCCUCAGCGACUCCUGCCCCCGGUUCCUGUUGGGUCUUCUUGAUGCAGGGAAGGCAUAUCUCCAGCGACAAAUGAGGCCAGAGGCCUGGCUGUCUACUGGCCCCAGUCCUGGUCCUGGCCAUCUGCUCCUGGUGUGCCACGUCUCUGGCUUCUACCCAAAGCCUGUGUGGGUGAUGUGGAUGUGGGGUGAGCAGGAGCAACAGGGCACACGGCGAGGUGAUCUCCUGCCCCAUGCUGAUGGGACAUGGUAUCUUCAGACGUCCUUGGAUGUGAAAGCCAGUGAGGCAGGUGGCCUGUCAUGCCGAGUGAGACACAGCAGUCUAGGAGGCCAGGACAUGGUCCUCUACUGGGAGCAGCCCCACUCCGUGGGCUUGGUCUUCCUCGCGGUGACAGUGCCCCUGGUGCUUCUGGCAGGUCUGGCGUUGUGGCUCUGGAAGCGCUGGAAAACACACUGGAGACCUCAGUGCACCGGCUUCCCUGUGGAGUGAGAUCCCAGCAGCCCAGGCUCCAGUGCUUACCUAAACCCAGCUCAAUGGUGACGUCCUUGCAACUCUGUGGCUGAGAGUGGGACCCAAGACUGAAAAAUGUCCAGAGGGGCCAUGUGCAGGCCCCAGCCCUACACGUGUGGACACUUCUGGAAAAUAACGUUGAGAUGGGAGAGGUGGCAAAGGUGAAGAUACGGGAAUGGGGAGAGCAAAUCAUGGGGACUUCUGCAAUAUCCCCACCUGAAUCAGACUGCUUGGCUGUUUCUCUAACUUCCAGUCCACCUUGUCACCCUCUCAUGGCCACCAUGUGGAUUUUGGAUCUUUGACUUCGUCCUCAUGUGUAGCCUUGGGCUCUGAUCAGCCUGAGGCCAUCAGGAGAAAGCAUCCUUGUCAAUGUGACAUGUUGAAGGAUGGGCAGGUAACUGGCAGGUGAGGCCAAUCAUCAGACAGAUGCCAUUUGCAUCACCCAGAGUGAUGGUUCAGGGCCAGGAACCUGCUCCAGGUGGCACAGGUCCCACACAGCCUGAUUCUUAUGGAGGAUGGAGGGAAAAGAGAUGCGUUCUCUUGUUCUGGAUGAUAAGGUCAGGGUGUGAAGCCUGAAAUAAGUACAAUCAAUUUUCAGCAUUAGAGAAGCAAGCUGAGGAUGAAGCCUGCAUGCAAGAAGGCAGAGAAAUUGUAUACAUGAAAUUUGCCAAGAGGGUAGAUCCCAAAUGUUCUCGCCUCCUGAAGAAAGAAAAACAAAAGAAAAGAAAAAGAAGAGUUCUGGAUGUGAGGUGGUGGCCGAGUUAACUGGCCUGGUUGUGGGCAUCAUGUCACCAUGUACACAUACACCAAACUUCUAAUGGUUACUUCAUUUUAUGUUUUUAAAAGAAAAUGUCAAUUAAAGUAUUCCAACAUGAGAUGAAUGCUACCUAAAAUAUUAAUUUUCAUGAUUUGCUUCAAAUCAAGUUUCUUGACCAAUUCUGCAUUUUCCUUCUGAAAUGCUACAUGCCCUCCCUGAAGGCACUGCAAGUAAGGACAUGAGCAUUCAGGUGCAGUUCCAUGCAUGCUC